This 233-nucleotide long non-coding RNA is filed under the name Solanum tuberosum (potato). RNAcentral describes it as "long non-coding RNA (STUB_LNC004813)". The record is from RNAcentral. Lineage: Eukaryota; Viridiplantae; Streptophyta; Magnoliopsida; Solanales; Solanaceae.
UUGUGUAAAACAAAUAGUAAGACUUAAUAUUGUAAUCAAUUAUUAAAUUCAACUUUGGUUGUUAUCAAGAUAGGAGAAAUAACUAGGGUACACGUGUUCCCCAUAAUCUCAUAACGCAGUAAUCCUAGUAAUAGCAAUCCUUUUCUAGUGUAUUACAUGCAAAGUGAUAAGUUAGGUAUCUCUAAAUCCUUGGUCCGGCAUCUAGAGAAUUUCACCCCGCACCUUGGUCCGGC